RNAcentral lists this Y RNA (113 nucleotides) under Prolemur simus (greater bamboo lemur). RNAcentral's name for it is "Y RNA (ENSPSMG00000000261.1)". It matches the Rfam family "Y RNA". From Rfam's summary of the family: Y RNAs are components of the Ro ribonucleoprotein particle (Ro RNP), in association with Ro60 and La proteins. The Y RNAs and Ro60 and La proteins are well conserved, but the function of the Ro RNP is not known. Lineage: Eukaryota; Metazoa; Chordata; Mammalia; Primates; Lemuridae. The record is from Rfam by way of RNAcentral.
GGCUGGGCAGAAGGUAGUGAGUUAUCUCACUUGAUUGUUCACAGUCAGUUACAGAUUUAACUCCUUGUUUUACUCUAGCCCACCUUCUCACUACUGCACUUGCCUAGUCUUAA